RNAcentral lists this ribosomal RNA (301 nucleotides) under uncultured bacterium. RNAcentral describes it as "partial 16S ribosomal RNA". It matches the Rfam family "Bacterial small subunit ribosomal RNA", at positions 509 to 807 of the family's 1533-position model. The record is from RNAcentral.
CAGCCGCCGCGGGAAAACAGAGGGUGCGAGCGUUAAUCGGAUUUACUGGGCGUAAAGCGUGCGUAGGCGGCUUCUUAAGUCGGAUGUGAAAUCCCUGAGCUUAACUUAGGAAUUGCAUUCGAUACUGGGAAGCUAGAGUAUGGGAGAGGAUGGUAGAAUUCCAGGUGUAGCGGUGAAAUGCGUAGAGAUCUGGAGGAAUACCGAUGGCGAAGGCAGCCAUCUGGCCUAAUACUGACGCUGAGGUACGAAAGCAUGGGGAGCAAACAGGAUUAGAGACCCCCGUAGUCCCUGUCUCUUAUAC